CGCUGCCGCCAGGACCAAGGCCCCCCGGGAAACGUCACAUGAGGCGGCGCGGCCACCAAUCGCCGCGCCGGCAAGAGCCGACGCAGGCGCCGUGGCGGGCGAGGGCCGAACCACAUGGAAUGUGGACCAAAGAGAGUCCACUGGAGGCGCAGGCCGCAGUGGGCAAGAGAUAACCGCGCUGCCGCGGGCGGGAGGAAUAGAGUGACCAUUGUGAUGUCAUUCUCAGGAGGAGCGGAGUCCUCCAGGGUCGGGACUCGGCUGCGCUGUUAUUGGGUGCAGUGCGGUAUUGAGGCUUUACCUGCCAGCCUUUUACCAAGGUGAGAGUUAUUUGGAUUUGAAUCACGAACCCGGAUUGCAACGGAGAUCUGUUGGUUUCGCAUUCAUCUUUUGAUUGCAGCAAUGUCCUGCCCUGGUCCGUAUGUUGUACUUCAUAUCCCCGAGGCGCUUGUUACUUUGUUUCUCCGGGGGUGUUGCCAAUUGUUACAAUGUGACCCCCUGUUCAGUCGUAACUGGAUCACCGUGUAGCCGUAUGCAGCGUCCAAAUCUCGCACUAAGCGUACCAGAGAAAUUCAAUACUGCCUGACCUGCUGACUAUUUUCAGCACUUUAUUUUAAUUUUAUACUUCCAGUACGUGCAGUGCUUCAGUUUUCUUUUAAAAGGAUUGGAAUGGAGGGUGAGGGAGCGCUUAGACCUCUGAUGUCCAUGGGCAGUAGCGACCUCUGAAGCUGGAAGUUAAUGUAUCAGUAAGCCAAUCGGCAGUCAUGGAACCUUGGAGCAGUUGUGUGGCCGCACAGUGUCAAGGGAAUAGCACUGAGGGGUACUGUGCAUGAAAAUACUUGGAAAGUGGGGAUUACCCCUGCUGUCUGACCUUGUUACAGCAUUGGUUCAAACAUGAACAAAACAGCUGAAUUCGAGAGGGGAACUGAGAGCCAAGUUUGCGUGGUGUCACAACCAUUUGGAUGGGCAUGUCUUAAAGUAGAAACAAAAGCAGAAAUUGGUGGAAAACUUCAGCAGGUAUGGUAGCAUCUGGGACAAGAAAGCAGAGUUAACAUUUUGGGCCCAGUAACCCUUCGGAGAUAACUGUGACCCCAGGUGAAUUCAAAACACUAAGGAUGAAAUUUGUGUUGGAAUCCAUACGGGAAUCCUUAAUGUGGAAGCAGGCCAUUUGGCCCAACAAGUCUGCACCGACCCUCCGAAGUAUAUCCCAUCCAUACCAUUUCCCCUGACUAAUGCACCUAGCCUACACAUCCCUGAACACUAUGGGCAAUUUAGCCUGGCCAAUUCACCUAACCUGCACAUCUUUGGACUGUGGAAGGAAACCGGAGCACCCGGAGGAAACCCACGCAGAUACGGUGAGAAUGUGCAAAUUCCAAACAGACAGUUGUCCAAGGCUGGAAUCAAACCUGGGUUUCUGGCAUGUGAGGCAGCAAUGCUAACCACUGAGCCACCGUGCCGCACUUUAUUGUCGCUCCUGAAAUUUGACAAGAUGUUUGCCAAAAUUCGUGGAUUCCAAAUCAAGUUUCAUCCUUCAUGUUUUGACUCCACCCGGGAUCACAGGUAUCUCCGAAGGAUUACUGGACCCAGAACAUUAAUUCUGCUUUCUCUCGAGAUCCUGCCAGACCUGCUGAGUUUUUCCAAUAAAUUUUGUUUUUGUUGGCCUUCCUAGUGAGAAGGUUUGAGCACAGGAGUAGGAAUGUCUUCCUGCAAUAGUCUAGGGCCUUGUUGAGAGCGCAUCUGGAGGCUGUGAGCAGUUUUAAUCUCCUCAUCUGAGGAAGUGUGUUCUAGCUAGAGAGGGAUUAUGACAAAUGUUUACCAGACUGAUUCCUGGGAUGGCAGGACCGAUGUAUGAAGAGAGCCUGGAACAAUCAGGCGUAUAUUCAUUGGAGUUAAGAAGAAUGAGGAGGUGAAGAUGAGAUGUCCUAGAAACCUUUAAAGUUCUAAUAGACGUGAAGAUAUCAUGACUCUAAGAGGUGUAUUUUGUCCUGAUUUUUUUUUAAUGGAGAGGUUGAGACAGAGGUGAGGAGCAGUCAAGGCAAUAAAUAGCUUGUGAGGUGUUGGAUUUUAUUUUAAGUUUGAACAAUAGUAGCAGCCUUAAUGGGUGGGGUCAAGCUCCUGCAGAACCAAGACUUUUAGUUGAGCUUUUAGUAGCUGUUGGGGUAGUGAAAGCUGCUACAUCUCUCUCUCUCUCUGCUACAACUAAAAGCUUGGGUUCUCUUCCUGCUGCUAGAAAUGUAAGUAAGACAAUUUAUUUUAUUGAAUUUGUCUAUGCCACGUGUGUGUUUAUGGGAUGUUACUAUAUUGGAACAGAUAAUGAGUAGUUUAUAGUAUUUUGAUAGUUCCAGUUAAGCCAAUCCUUUUAUUUUGUCUGUAUUUUAACUUUAGUAUUUGAAUAAAGUGUGUUUUGCUUCAA
Hemiscyllium ocellatum (epaulette shark) is the source of this 2410-nucleotide long non-coding RNA. RefSeq lists it as uncharacterized. The transcript is spliced from 4 exons. NCBI's taxonomy places the organism in Eukaryota, Metazoa, Chordata, Chondrichthyes, Orectolobiformes, Hemiscylliidae. The record is from RefSeq and is a predicted model, not a curated record.